UACGGGGGGGGUAAGCGUUGUUCGGAAUUACUGGGCGUAAAGGGUUCGUAGGCGGUCCGUCACGUCGGGAGUGAAAACUCAGGGCUCAACCCUGAGCGUGCUUCCGAUACGGGCGGACUAGAGGUAUGCAGGGGAGAACGGAAUUCCUGGUGUAGCGGUGGAAUGCGCAGAUAUCAGGAGGAACACCGGUGGCGAAGGCGGGUCUCUGGGCAGUAACUGACGCUGAGGAGCGAAAGCGUGGGGAGCGGACAGG
This 253-nucleotide ribosomal RNA is filed under the name uncultured bacterium. Its description in RNAcentral is "partial 16S ribosomal RNA". It matches the Rfam family "Bacterial small subunit ribosomal RNA", at positions 524 to 776 of the family's 1533-position model. The record is from RNAcentral.